UACGUAGGGUGCGAGCGUUAAUCGGAAUUACUGGGCGUAAAGCGUGCGCAGGCGGUUCGUUAAGUCAGCUGUGAAAGCCCCGGGCUUAACCUGGGAAUGGCGGUUGAAACUGGCGAACUUGAAUCUGGCAGAGGGGGGUGGAAUUCCACGUGUAGCAGUGAAAUGCGUAGAUAUCAGGAGGAACACCGAUGGCGAAGGCAGGUCUCUGGGCUGACACUGACGCUCAUGCACGAAAGCGUGGGGAGCAGACAGG
This 253-nucleotide ribosomal RNA is filed under the name uncultured bacterium. RNAcentral's name for it is "partial 16S ribosomal RNA". It matches the Rfam family "Bacterial small subunit ribosomal RNA", at positions 524 to 776 of the family's 1533-position model. The record is from RNAcentral.